GACGAACGCUGGCGGCGUGCUUAACACAUGCAAGUCGAACGGAAAGGCCCUGCUUUUGUGGGGUGCUCGAGUGGCGAACGGGUGAGUAACACGUGAGUAACCUGCCCUUGACUUUGGGAUAACUUCAGGAAACUGGGGCUAAUACCGGAUAGGAGCUCCUGCUGCAUGGUGGGGGUUGGAAAGUUUCGGCGGUUGGGGAUGGACUCGCGGCUUAUCAGCUUGUUGGUGGGGUAGUGGCUUACCAAGGCUUUGACGGGUAGCCGGCCUGAGAGGGUGACCGGCCACGUUGGGAUUGAGAUACGGCCCAGACUCCUACGGGAGGCAGCAGUGGGGAAUAUUGCACAAUGGGCGGAAGCCUGAUGCAGCAACGCCGCGUGCGGGAUGACGGCCUUCGGGUUGUAAACCGCUUUCGCCUGUGACGAAGCGUGAGUGACGGUAAUGGGUAAAGAAGCACCGGCUAACUACGUG
This 468-nucleotide ribosomal RNA is filed under the name uncultured bacterium. RNAcentral describes it as "partial 16S ribosomal RNA". It matches the Rfam family "Bacterial small subunit ribosomal RNA", at positions 28 to 507 of the family's 1533-position model. The record is from RNAcentral.